AAGUCGUAACAAGGUUUCCGUAGGUGAACCUGCGGAAGGAUCAUUACCUUUCUGGCUAUUAAUAGCUUGUGCUGGGGCUGUCAGUUUCUGCAGUCUCUCGACUUUACAUCCGUGUUUUUUGCUGCUUGACUGAUUAUGUUUUCCUCGGCCGGGGCUUUGGCUUGCCGGAUUGGACAAAUCAUAAAACUCUUUGCAAUUGCAAUCAGCGUCUGAAUUAUGUAAUAAUUACAA
Molecule: unclassified non-coding RNA, 231 nt
Filed under: plant metagenome
Description: partial contains small subunit ribosomal RNA and internal transcribed spacer 1
Rfam family: Eukaryotic small subunit ribosomal RNA (bases 1-46)
Source: RNAcentral